RNAcentral lists this ribosomal RNA (253 nucleotides) under uncultured bacterium. RNAcentral's name for it is "partial 16S ribosomal RNA". It matches the Rfam family "Bacterial small subunit ribosomal RNA", at positions 524 to 776 of the family's 1533-position model. The record is from RNAcentral.
UACGGAGGAUGCAAGCGUUAUCCGGAUUCAUUGGGUUUAAAGGGUGCGUAGGCGGGAUAGUAAGUCAGUGGUGAAAUCUUUCGGCUUAACCGGAAAAUUGCCUCUGAUACUGUUAUCCUUGAGUACAGCUGAGGAGGGCGGAAUGUGUAUUGUAGCGGUGAAAUGCAUAGAUAUUACACAGAACACCAAUUGCGAAGGCAGCUCUCUAAACUGUUACUGACGCUGAGGCACGAAAGCGUGGGGAGCGAACAGG